Long non-coding RNA from Dreissena polymorpha, 314 nucleotides. RefSeq lists it as uncharacterized. Lineage: Eukaryota; Metazoa; Mollusca; Bivalvia; Myida; Dreissenidae. The transcript is spliced from 3 exons. The record is from RefSeq and is a predicted model, not a curated record.
CAGGCUUAUGACGCUCUGGUCUCCGAGGUGGGAAAUCAAGUGAAAACAACCAUUGAGUCCCCAUUGCCAUGUGUGUCUGAUUCACUAACCAAAGUUUUCUUUUGUGACAUUCAACCAAAAAACGGAUUCUUCAAGCUGUUCAAACAGUUUUUGCUCACAGAAAAUGUGGACGAGGCACAGGUUAUAAUUGUCCAGGCAUCUGCGAAUGGACAGACUGACUGCAACUCCUUCGAACUAUUCAACAGCUUGGUACAGAGAAAACCAAUAGUGAGCAAUAGAUGGGUAAACAAUAUCUGCUUGCUGGUACCACACUU